UACGAAGGGGGCUAGCGUUGUUCGGAAUUACUGGGCGUAAAGCGCACGUAGGCGGUUAUUUAAGUCAGGGGUGAAAUCCCGGAGCUCAACUCCGGAACUGCCUUUGAUACUGGGUAUCUGGAGUAUGGAAGAGGUGAGUGGAAUUCCGAGUGUAGAGGUGAAAUUCGUAGAUAUUCGGAGGAACACCAGUGGCGAAGGCGGCUCACUGGUCCAUUACUGACGCUGAGGUGCGAAAGCGUGGGGAGCAAACAGG
This 253-nucleotide ribosomal RNA is filed under the name uncultured bacterium. RNAcentral's name for it is "partial 16S ribosomal RNA". It matches the Rfam family "Bacterial small subunit ribosomal RNA", at positions 524 to 776 of the family's 1533-position model. The record is from RNAcentral.